RNAcentral lists this ribosomal RNA (497 nucleotides) under uncultured bacterium. RNAcentral's name for it is "partial 16S ribosomal RNA". It matches the Rfam family "Bacterial small subunit ribosomal RNA", at positions 28 to 507 of the family's 1533-position model. The record is from RNAcentral.
GAUGAACGCUGGCGGCGUGCCUAAUACAUGCAAGUCGAGCGAACGGACGCGAAGCUUGCUCUUCUGAUGUUAGCGGCGGACGGGUGAGUAACACGUGGAUAACCUACCUAUUAGACUGGGAUAACUUCGGGAAACCGGAGCUAAUACCGGAUAAUAUUUUGAACCGCAUGGUUCAAAAGUGAAAGAAGGUCUUGCCGUCCCUUAUAGAUGGAUCCGCGCUGCAUUAGCUAGUUGGUAGGGUAACGGCUUACCAAGGCAACGAUGCAUAGCCGACCUGAGAGGGUGAUCGGCCACACUGGAACUGAGACACGGUCCAGACUCCUACGGGAGGCAGCAGUAGGGAAUCUUCCGCAAUGGGCGAAAGCCUGACGGAGCAACGCCGCGUGAGUGAUGAAGGUCUUCGGAUCGUAAAACUCUGUUAUUAGGGAAGAACAUAUGUGUAAGUAACUGUGCACAUCUUGACGGUACCUAAUCAGAAAGCCACGGCUAACUACGUG